AUACGGAGGGUGCGAGCGUUGUUCGGAAUUAUUGGGCGUAAAGCGCGUGUAGGCGGUUUCUUAAGUCUGAUGUGAAAGCCCCGGGCUCAACCUGGGAAGUGCAUUGGAAACUGGGGGACUUGAGUACGGGAGAGGGAAGCGGAAUUCCUGGUGUAGAGGUGAAAUUCGUAGAUAUCAGGAGGAACACCGGUGGCGAAGGCGGCUUCCUGGACCGAUACUGGCGCUGAGACGCGAAAGCGUGGGGAGC
Molecule: ribosomal RNA, 247 nt
Filed under: uncultured bacterium
Lineage: Bacteria
Description: partial 16S ribosomal RNA
Rfam family: Bacterial small subunit ribosomal RNA
Source: RNAcentral